This 587-nucleotide ribosomal RNA is filed under the name uncultured bacterium. Its description in RNAcentral is "partial 16S ribosomal RNA". It matches the Rfam family "Bacterial small subunit ribosomal RNA", at positions 355 to 1376 of the family's 1533-position model. The record is from RNAcentral.
UGGGGAAUAUUGGACAAUGGGCGCAAGCCUGAUCCAGCAAUGCCGCGUGUGUGAAGAAGGCCUUCGGGUUGUAAAGCACUUUUAUCAGGAGCGAAACGCUGUCGGCUAAUACCCGGCGGAACUGACGGUACCUGAGGAAUAAGCACCGGCUAACUUCGUGCCAGCAGCCGCGGUAAUACGAAGGGUGCAAGCGUUAAUCGGAAUUACUGGGCGUAAAGCGUGCGUAGGCGGUUUCUUAAGUCUGCUGUGAAAUCCCCGGGCUCAACCUGGGAAUGGCAGUGGAUACUGGGAGGCUAGAGUGUGUCAGAGGGUGGUGGAAUUCCCGGUGUAGCGGUGAAAUGCGUAGAGAUCGGGAGGAACAUCAGUGGCGAAGGCGGCCACCUGGGACAACACUGACGCUGAGGCACGAAAGCGUGGGGAGCAAACAGGAUUAGAUACCCUGGUAGUCCACGCCCUAAACGAUGCGAACUGGAUGUUGUCUCAACUCGGAGAUCAGUGUCGAAGCUAACGCGUUAAGUUCGCCGCCUGGGGAGUACGGUCGCAAGACUGAAACUCAAAGGAAUUGACGGGGUCAUAGCUGUUUCCUG